This is a long non-coding RNA of Eriocheir sinensis (Chinese mitten crab), 3072 nucleotides long. RefSeq lists it as uncharacterized. The transcript has 2 exons. The record is from RefSeq and is a predicted model, not a curated record. Lineage: Eukaryota; Metazoa; Arthropoda; Malacostraca; Decapoda; Varunidae.
GAGAGAGAGAGAGAGAGAGAGAGAGAGAGAGAGAGAGAGAUCGUUACAGGCUCAACUAACUUAUUGCCCCUCUGAGCGACGUAACUCAUGCAGGAAAUUACCGAAAUUGUCCCCCACUCUAGCUAAUCCGCAAUCAGUUUCAACGCCCUUAAGUUACUAUCACGUUACCCAUUCACCCCAACUUUAAUCCCGUCCUUUGCUCUUUGUCAUAAAAAACAACGAGUAUGUGGAGGAGGAGAAGGAUGGAAUGCUUAUCAAACACUCACUUAAGAUAAAAGCAGGGGGGUGGGGGAGGCAGUUGACGAGGACGAACGUGAUAUUAAAGGCAUGCAUUGACGUGCUUGCUUAUAAUGAGACUAACAGCUAAAGCAGACUUAUUUACAGGGAAAAGUAGAAAACAGACAAAUCAAUAAGUAUAUAGACUAACACACGCAUCAACGAAUUUGAAUGUAAGCAAAAAUAUUAUUAUUAGACGAAAGACCUAGCUAAAGUAGACAUAUUAAACUGAGAAGGAACGAAGACAGACAUACAGUAAAAAGACAUAGAUAUAAAGAGAACAGACAUGCAUAGAAAGAUACAGGCAGACAAGUUAGAGACGAAAAAGACAAAAGUCAAUUGAGAAAGACGUUGCAGUUAACUUUAGGAAACGCAGGAAGGCCAAGACAAACACACAUACAUUGAAAGACAGACAAGCGAGACGAAAACUAGAGAAGUCAAUUGUGAAAGACGUUGCAAAGACAUUCAGACAGGGAUAGAUAGACACUGAAAGACGGACAAUCGAAAGCGACGAAAGGGGGAGAGAAGCCGAUCAAGGAAAAUGUUGCAGCUAACUUUAGGAAAACUUUGAGAAGGGAAAGACAGACACAGACAGACAGACGGAGAAACAAAAAUACACACAAAAGCGACGGAGACACGAAGACAAGAGAGAGACAAGUCGAAUGAGAUACAACACCAAACUUAUCACCACCACCACCACUCUUGAACAUUCUAACCUCUCCCUCCCUCCAUCCCUCCCUCUCGUCCUGCCUGGCCUGCUGUCUGGCGUCUGCUCACCAUGGCCUGCCUGCUGUUCCUCCCUCUCCCACAAUGCAGCGUUGCCACGUGGACCAAGACUACACACACACACACACACACACACACACGAACUUUCCCCUAAUGCGCUCAUCAACCAAGACAUUUAAUCAUAACCCAACCUGAGACUGUCCUCGUAGUUUCUCCUGCCUGCACGAAGAUGCUGAUAAGUGAAAGUGUAGCGUUACUAGGUUUUCUCUGCCUGCUCUGGCUAUACGUGUGUUCGGUCACGUAUUCCACUCAUGCUGUCACCCUGCUCGUCCCCUGCACCCUGUAACCUCGCCCCUGCACAUAAUUCAUCCUCGUACGUACCCUGUGCCCCUACCCUUAUGCCUAAUAGUAUACCACGUGUCUAAACGAACUGAAAUUAAUGUUUAUGCAAAUGACUAUAAGUUUAAGGGGGGACAACAGUAAUAAGACCAUCCUCGCACCUUUUCUUCUUGCCUUACGCCACCCGUGUUUAUACGAACUUAAUGUGAAGGAGUAAAAGAUCAAAUAUAUACAAACUCAAUGGGGAACAUCAGUAAUAAGCCAUCCUCGCACCUCUCUUCUUCCCUAAUGCCACCUGUCUAUACGAACUUAAUAAUGUGAAGGAAUAAAAGAUCAGAUAGAAGUUUAAUAGGGAAAGGGGAAAGAGUAGUAGACCUAUCUGCCAACCUAUUUGCUUCUCUCCCCUUGCCCUUCCUCUCCUUCCUUCCGCUUCUCAUAUAUAUCAUGCCCGCUUUCAAUACUAUCCUUUACCUACAUAUCCUAUCAUCUUCCUUGUCCAAAUUCUUCCCUUUCCUCUACCCAUCUACCAACAGCUGCCUACCCAAACAUCUUUUCUGAUACCAAAUGCCACCUGUCAAUACAAAUAAUAUGGAGUAGAAAAUCAUAUAAAUACAAACUUGAUGGGGGACCGGAGUAAUACAAGCACACUAGCACUUUUUUUUCACCCCUGCAAAUACCCAUGUCUCCUCCCUUAAGCCUAUUACCAUCUGUCCGUGAAGAAGUAAAAGAUCAUAUAUAUAAAUACAAACUUAAUGGGGGGAACAGGAGUAAUAAAGCCACCCUAGAACACUUAUUUCACCCCCCUUAUGUACCCAAGUCCCCUCCGCUAAGCCUAAAGCCACCUGUGUUCUUUUAUAGGAAGACGUUUAAACAGGGGAAGGGGUGAGGGCUGUAAAAUACGAAGUAACCAUCACAACUUCCACCCAUUAUGCGCGUUCCUCACCUUCACCUAAGCCUAAUAGCAUGUAGAUACGUAGAAAUAAAGUUAAGUAGAAAUAAAAGGUAGAAAUAAAAAUAACUGGUUGAAAUCAAAGAAGUGGAUAUGAAACAAGAGGUAGAAAUUAAAGAAGAGGUAGCGUAGAAAUUAAACAAGAGGUAGAAAUUAAACAAGAGGUAGAAAUUAAGCAAGAGGUAGAAAUUAAACAAGAGGUAGAAAUUAAACAAGAGGUAGAAAUUAAACAAGAGGUAGAAAUUAAACAAGAGGUAGAAAUUAAACCAGAGAUAGAAAUUAAACCAGAGAUAGAAAUUAAACCAGAGAUAGAAAUUAAACCAGAGAUAGAAAUUAAACCAGAGAUAGAAAUUAAACCAGAGAUAGAAAUUAAACCAGAGAUAGAAAUUAAACCAGAGGUAGAAAUUAAACCAGAGAUAGAAAUUAAACCAGAGAUAGAAAUUAAACCAGAGAUAGAAAUUAAACCAGAGAUAGAAAUUAAACCAGAGGUAGAAAUUAAACCAGAGGUAGAAAUUAAACCAGAGGUAGAAAUUAAACCAGAGGUAGAAAUUAAACCAGAGGUAGAAAUUAAACCAGAGGUAGAAAUUAAACCAGAGGUAGAAAUUAAACCAGAGGUAGAAAUUAAACCAGAGGUAGAAAUUAAACCAGAGGUAGAAAUUAAACCAGAGGUAGAAAUUAAACCAGAGGUAGAAAUUAAACCAGAAGUAGAAAUUAAACCAGAAGUAGAAACUAAACAAGAGGUAGAAAUUAAACAAGAGGUAGAAAUAAGAUAAAAAAAAAGG